Molecule: long non-coding RNA, 725 nt
Organism: Dreissena polymorpha
Lineage: Eukaryota; Metazoa; Mollusca; Bivalvia; Myida; Dreissenidae
Exons: 2
Source: RefSeq, a predicted model, not a curated record
UGGCGGCGUGCUCGAAAAUGUUAAAGUUCUUAUUUCAUGGUAUAACUUUGGUAUGCUUGGACCUAGAGUCUUCAAACUUGACAUGAAGGUUGGCCAGGAUUAACAGAUGACCACUGGUCAUUUCAAGGUCAUUCAUUUGAAGGUCAAGGUCACUGUGACCUUCAAUAUAAAAAAUGUUAAAGUUCUUAUAACUUUGGUAUGCUUGGACCUAGAGUCUUGAAACUUGACAUGAAGGUUGGCCAUAACUAGUUAGUAACCACUGGUCAUUUCAAGGUCAUUCAUUUGAAGGUCAAGGUCACUGUGACCUUGAAUGUAAAAAUGUUAAAGUUCUUAUUUCAUGGUAUAACUUUGGUAUGCUUGGACCUAGAGUCUUCAAACUUGACAUGAAGGUUGGCCAGGAUUAACAGAUGACCACUGGUCAUUUCAAGGUCAUUCAUUUGAAGGUGAAGGUCACUGUGACCUUCAAUAUAAAAAUGUUAAAGUUGUUAUAACUUUGGUAUGCUUGGACCUAGAGUCUUGAAACUUGACAUGAAGGUUGGCCAGAACUAGUAAGUAACCACUGGACAUUUCAAGGUCAUUCAUUUGAAGGUCAAGGUAUGUGAAAGCAAAACAAUAAAUAGUAUUAUUUCAUCUAAGUUUAUUUUCUUACAUUUGAUAAUGAAAUUGAUGGAAACUUCAAACAAUAUCUUACUAAUUUGCUAAUAAAAAAAUUGAGAUCAAACUUU